This 875-nucleotide ribosomal RNA is filed under the name uncultured Campylobacterota bacterium. RNAcentral describes it as "bacterial SSU rRNA". It matches the Rfam family "Bacterial small subunit ribosomal RNA", at positions 28 to 916 of the family's 1533-position model. The record is from RNAcentral. Lineage: Bacteria; Pseudomonadati; Campylobacterota.
AGUGAACGCUGACGGCGUGCUUAACACAUGCAAGUCGAACGGUAACAGCAGUACUUGUACUGGCUGACGAGUGGCGGACGGGUGAGUAAUGUAUAGUUAAUCUGCCUCUUAGAGAGGGAUAACAGUUGGAAACGACUGCUAAUACCUCAUACUCCUUUUAUCUUGAUGAUAAUUGGGAAAUGUUUUCUCGCUAAGAGAUGAGACUAUAUGGUAUCAGCUUGUUGGUGAGGUAAUGGCUCACCAAAGGCAAUGACACCUAGCUGGUCUGAGAGGGAUGAUCAGCCACACCCGGAACUGAGACACGGUCCAGACUCCCUACGGGAGGCAGCAGUGGGGAAUAUUGCACAAUGGAGGAAACUCUGAUGCAGCAACGCCGCGUGGAGGAUGACGCAUUUCGGUGUGUAAACUCCUUUUAUAUAGGAAGAUAAUGACGGUACUAUAUGAAUAAGCACCGGCUAACUCCGUGCCAGCAGCCGCGGUAAUACGGAGGGUGCAAGCGUUACUCGGAAUCACUGGGCGUAAAGCGCGCGCAGGCGGUCUGAUAAGUUGGAAGUGAAAUCCUAUGGCUUAACCAUAGAACUGCUUCCAAAACUGUCAGACUAGGGUGUGGGAGGGGAAGAUGGAAUUAGUUGUGUAGGGGUAAAAUCCGUAGAGAUAACUAGGAAUACCAAAAGCGAAGGCGAUCUUCUGGAACACUACUGACGCUGAGGCGCGAAAGCGUGGGGAGCAAACAGGAUUAGAUACCCUGGUAGUCCACGCAGUAAACGAUGAAUGUUAGUCGUCGGGAUGCAAGUCAUUUCGGUGAUGCAGUUAACACAUUAAACAUUCCGCCUGGGGAGUACGGUCGCAAGAUUAAAACUCAAAGGAAUAGACGG